This 253-nucleotide ribosomal RNA is filed under the name uncultured bacterium. RNAcentral describes it as "partial 16S ribosomal RNA". It matches the Rfam family "Bacterial small subunit ribosomal RNA", at positions 524 to 776 of the family's 1533-position model. The record is from RNAcentral.
UACGUAGGUGACAAGCGUUGUCCGGAUUUACUGGGCGUAAAGAGCGCGCAGGCGGUCGAUCAAGUCGAGUGUGAAAGCCCCCGGCUCAACUGGGGAGGGUCAUUCGAUACUGAUCGACUCGAAGGCAGGAGAGGGUAGUGGAAUUCCCGGUGUAGUGGUGAAAUGCGUAGAUAUCGGGAGGAACACCAGUGGCGAAGGCGGCGAUCUGGGUCGAUACUGACGCUGAGGUGCGAAAGCGUGGGGAGCAAACAGG